RNAcentral lists this long non-coding RNA (267 nucleotides) under Phoenix dactylifera (date palm). RNAcentral describes it as "long non-coding RNA (PDAC_LNC020832)". Lineage: Eukaryota; Viridiplantae; Streptophyta; Magnoliopsida; Arecales; Arecaceae. The record is from RNAcentral.
UUCUGCAUCAGUCCCUUCCACUUGAACACGACUCGUCCUCGAGUUUUCAUCUGGAUAUAGUUGUUCCUCAGGGCUGUGGUAUUCAUAGAUAUCAGUGACAUUAAAAGUCUUUGAAAUUCCCAUAUCCUCUGGUAGAUCCACUAUGUAAGCAUUGUUAUUGAUUCUUUUCAAAAUUCUGUAUGGACCAUACUUCCUUUGUUUCCAUUUGCUGUAAGUUCCUACUGAAAAUCUUUCUUUGCGCAGGAAAACCAUCACCAUGUCACCCUC